UGCAUCUGAUGGUGCCAUUAUGAAGAUGAACUGUUAACUAAAUUGCUUUGGUGGAAUAUGUAUGCUAGGGAAGAGAGCGUGCUGGCCCUUCUCAAAGUGUCCCAUGAAAAAGUUAUUCCACACCUCCUCCCUGACCUUGUCGUGCAGACGCUUCCAGGAUGAACUCCAACUCGCCGAGCCACCGCAGCUCCUCAGCUGACUAAAAGAGUUAAUGAUCCUCCAGGUUAAAACUCCUCCUUGAGCACACACCUUCUCUCAACAAAUGACAAUACUUGGCAAACUGAACUCCUCCCACGAGUCGCCCUCUGCUAGGAGGAAUUGCUGGCUGCUCCCUGCUUAUUGCAUUCUCUCAGAGCAGCUGUCUCAAAGGAGGCUGCUCCCAUGCCGAUCUUUU
Molecule: long non-coding RNA, 394 nt
Organism: Homo sapiens (human)
Lineage: Eukaryota; Metazoa; Chordata; Mammalia; Primates; Hominidae
Gene: ATP13A4-AS1
Product: ATP13A4 antisense RNA 1
Source: Ensembl